Molecule: long non-coding RNA, 73 nt
Organism: Etheostoma cragini (Arkansas darter)
Lineage: Eukaryota; Metazoa; Chordata; Actinopteri; Perciformes; Percidae
Exons: 3
Source: RefSeq, a predicted model, not a curated record
GAACAUUUUCAUACAUGGAGCUAAAAUGGCGGCCUCCCUACAUUCACCGGUCUAGCAGUUCUACAAGGUGUCU